RNAcentral lists this RNase P RNA (339 nucleotides) under Candidatus Saccharimonadota bacterium. RNAcentral's name for it is "RNase P RNA component class A". It matches the Rfam family "Bacterial RNase P class A". Rfam says of the family: Ribonuclease P (RNase P) is a ubiquitous endoribonuclease, found in archaea, bacteria and eukarya as well as chloroplasts and mitochondria. Its best characterised activity is the generation of mature 5'-ends of tRNAs by cleaving the 5'-leader elements of precursor-tRNAs. Lineage: Bacteria; Candidatus Saccharimonadota. The record is from RNAcentral.
GCAGCUCGGCAGAUGAUCGCUGGUAGCUUAGGCUACGAGAGGAAAGUCCGGGCAGCGUAGGACAAGGGCAGUCGCUAACGGCGACCGGGGGAGACCCUAGGGAAAGUGCCACAGAAACUAUACCGCCAGGCUCACGCUUGGUAAGGGCGAAACGAGUGAGGUAAGAGCUCACAGCGACGCACGGUGACGUGCGGAGGAGGUAAACCCUGCCUGCUGCAAGGAGAGUUACAUAAAGGGCGGUCCGUCCGUAACUCGAUAACCGCUUGAUGUGCCCGGCAACGGGUGUACUAGAUAGAUGAUCAUCCACGACAGAACCCGGCUUACCGCUGAGCUGCUACC